CCUACGUGCGGCAGCAGUGGGAAUAUUUCACAAUGGGGGAAACCCUGAUGCAGCGACGCCGCGUGAGUGAAGAAGUAUUUCGGUAUGUAAAGCUCUAUCAGCAGGGAAGAAAAUAACGGUACCUGAUUAAGAAGCACCGGCUAACUACGUGCCAGCAGCCGCGGUAAUUCGAAGGGGGCAAGCGUUAUCCGGAUUUACUGGGUGUAAAGGGGGCGUAGACGGCAGCACCAGUCUGGAGUGAAAGGCCGGGGCUUAACCCCGGAACUGCUUUGGAACCUGUGCAGCUAGAGUGCAGGAGAGGUAAGUGGAAUUCCUAGUGUAGCGGUGAAAUGCGUAGAUAUUAGGAGGAACACCAGUGGCGAAGGCGGCUGACUGGACUGUAACUGACGUUGAGGCUCGAAAGCGUGGGGAGCAAACAGGAUUAGAUACCCCUGUAGUC
Molecule: ribosomal RNA, 439 nt
Filed under: uncultured bacterium
Lineage: Bacteria
Description: partial 16S ribosomal RNA
Rfam family: Bacterial small subunit ribosomal RNA
Source: RNAcentral